This 525-nucleotide ribosomal RNA is filed under the name Triticum aestivum (bread wheat). Its description in RNAcentral is "partial small subunit ribosomal RNA". Lineage: Eukaryota; Viridiplantae; Streptophyta; Magnoliopsida; Poales; Poaceae. The record is from RNAcentral.
AUGGCUUGGUGCUGCUACCCACCGACACCAACACCUACAUCUUUUAACCCUACCAUGAGAGAUGUCGUCGAGCUGCCUAAGAGCCACCGCAACAUGUUGCAACAUUCAACCUGCCUUCCAAUUGGAUUUGGCCUUGAUGCUUCCACGGGCAGAUAUAAGGUUGUGCGCUCUUUCUACUAUUCCAUUGAUUGCCAUCACAUUGCGAUGGGAAUGGAAGUGUUCAUCAUUAAUGAUGGCCAAGAUAGAUCUUGGAGGGAAACCUUGACUGAUCCACCCGCCCUUAUCUCGUGUCCUCAGACUGCCAUACACUGCAAGGGCCCCCCUUCCCUCCCUAGCGCCGCCGCGAGCCCCCUCCACGCGCCUCCCUCCCCUUGCCGCCGCCUCGACGUACUAGCAGGCAAAGCCCGGCAGUGCUGGCGGCGGCGGCGUGCUCUUCUUCCCCCGCUCUGUCUGGCGGGCGCGGAACUCCAGGUCAGGCGGUGGCUUGGGGUUUGCUCGGGGCACAGCAACAGCAGCCGCCGGUAG